ACCAGUUACUUCUUGGAAUAUA
RNAcentral lists this microRNA (22 nucleotides) under Patiria miniata (bat star). RNAcentral's name for it is "Pmi-Mir-2007_3p* (star (passenger))". The record is from RNAcentral. Lineage: Eukaryota; Metazoa; Echinodermata; Asteroidea; Valvatida; Asterinidae.